This 253-nucleotide ribosomal RNA is filed under the name uncultured bacterium. RNAcentral's name for it is "partial 16S ribosomal RNA". It matches the Rfam family "Bacterial small subunit ribosomal RNA", at positions 524 to 776 of the family's 1533-position model. The record is from RNAcentral.
UACGUAGGUGGCAAGCGUUGUUCGGAAUUAUUGGGCGUAAAGGGCGCGUAGGCGGUUUGUUAAGUCGGCUGUGAAAGCCCGGGGCUCAACCCCGGAGGGUCAGCCGAUACUGGCAGACUAGAGUACGGAAGAGGUAGCUGGAAUUCCCGGUGUAGCGGUGAAAUGCGUAGAUAUCGGAAGGAACAUCAGUGGCGAAAGCGACUUCCUGGACCAAUACUGACGCUCAUGUGCGAAAGCGUGGGGAGCAAACAGG